AGUCCUGACUUGUUUGUUAUUUUUGGUGCUGAAGUUGAACUGAACUACAAAAGCCAAGAAAUGUCGUAAGCACAGCUCUAACUACUGUGUUGUAAUCUUAUUUCAUUCAGCUGCUGAGGGCUUAUAUGGCCACUGAAAGGAAUGCAGUCCUGGCUGAGUACUUUUUCCAGUGAAGAAAUGUUAAUUUGUUCCAUGCCAUCCCCAUUUUUUGUGCACCUAUGUUUAAAAUCAGCUUUCACUGAUCACCCCAGAGAGAGAGAAUUUGUAAAUACACUGUAUUAAAUCAUGUUUGGUAUCAAACUGUGAACCAUGCUGAUAAAAGAAGAAUUGACCCAAACUACUCAACCUCAAUCUAAUGAGAUCAAAAGACAUCAGCUGGAGCUGGUAGCUACUUCUCAUAGAGGGGAUUCUUUUCUCCUUUACAUCCUCUUUCAAGGCAAGAACUAAGCCACUCCUUCCCUGCUUUUAGGUUCUGAUUGUUUUCUGUUCACUGAACUCUCCAAUAUUAUUUGGUGAUAAGGACUAGGGAGUAAUGAAUAAGUUAUCAAAAUAAAUCAAAUAUGUAAAGGUGUGGGUAAUACCAAGUCUUCUAAGUGUGUACAGAAAAAAUAUGUGUGAAUAUGGAGAGCAAUUGUAUCUUUAAUGUACCUGGAUAUGGGAAUUAAUUUAUAAAUAAAUGUUUUAUCUGUCAGCUGGAGUAAUAAAGGAAUUUUCACCAAAAUGGAGAGAGUCUGCUCUUGUAGGGAUGUAGCUACACA
This is a long non-coding RNA of Parus major (Great Tit), 758 nucleotides long. RefSeq lists it as uncharacterized. The transcript is spliced from 4 exons. The record is from RefSeq and is a predicted model, not a curated record. NCBI's taxonomy places the organism in Eukaryota, Metazoa, Chordata, Aves, Passeriformes, Paridae.